GAUGAACGCUGGCGGCGUGCCUAAUACAUGCAAGUCGAGCGAACAGAUAAGGGGCUUGAGCCUUUGACGUUAGAGGCGGACGGGUGAGUAACCCGUGGGUAACCUAACUAUAAGACUGGGCUAACUUCAGGAAACCGGAGCUAAUACCGGAUAAAAGUUGGAACCGCAUGGUUCUAAAGUGAAAGAUGGUUUUGCUAUCACUUAUAGAUGGCCCCGCACCGUAUUAACUAGUUGGUAAGGUAACGGCUUAACAAGGCUACGAUACUUAGACGACCUGAGAGGGUGAUCGGCCACACUGUAAGUGAGACACGGUCCACACUCCUACGGUGAGCAACAGUAGGGAAUCUUCCGGGAGGGACGAGAGCCUGACGGUGCAACGUGGGGUCAGUGAUGAUGGGUCCCGGCUCGGUGAGCGAUGUUAGUAGUAGAGUUGUAAAGCGUAAUUAACUGUGCACGUCCUGACGGUACCUAAGCAGAAAGCCACGGCUAACUACGUG
RNAcentral lists this ribosomal RNA (497 nucleotides) under uncultured bacterium. RNAcentral describes it as "partial 16S ribosomal RNA". It matches the Rfam family "Bacterial small subunit ribosomal RNA", at positions 28 to 507 of the family's 1533-position model. The record is from RNAcentral.